Molecule: small nuclear RNA, 163 nt
Organism: Cercocebus atys (sooty mangabey)
Lineage: Eukaryota; Metazoa; Chordata; Mammalia; Primates; Cercopithecidae
Gene: U1
Rfam family: U1 spliceosomal RNA
About the family: U1 is a small nuclear RNA (snRNA) component of the spliceosome (involved in pre-mRNA splicing). Its 5' end forms complementary base pairs with the 5' splice junction, thus defining the 5' donor site of an intron.
Source: Ensembl
GUACUCAUUUGGCAGGGGAGAUACCGUGAUCACGAAAGUGGUCUUCCCAGGGCAAGGCUUAUCCACUGCACUCCGGACAUGCUGACCCCUGCGAUUUCCCCAAAAGUAGGAAACUUGGCUGCAUCAUCUGUGGUCAUGGGGACUGUGUUCAUGCUUUCCCCUG